AAAAAAAAAAAAAAAAAAAAGGUAUUGGGUGGAGGUUUGAAUUUUAUAUAAUUUAAUUUGAACACGCGGGACUGCCAAUAUCUUUGGCCAAGCAGGCCGGGAUACGCGUCCGCGUUUAGGAGUGAUGAGGGGGACAGGAACCCCAAGAAGAGGGGGAUAUCAGCGGGAGUUACUAUCCUGCUGGUGGAUCACGUUCAGAGCCCCAUGAAUUGGGGGGCUACCGGGAGGAGCUACUAUCCUUUCUGGUGAUCACGUGACCAGAGAUCCUCAGGAUUAUUCUGAAAAAUUAAUUCUCACAGUUUGAUAUUGCAGAUAGGAUUAUAUUACAUGUAUUUUGGUUUUGAGUUUCGCAGAAUUAUAUUCCUGAGUUUUCAUGUUCGUACAUAGCAAUUUGCAUCAUGUAUGUGUAUUGGUAUUACAGGCAGAUAUUGCCUAUUUUAAAUGUUAACGCCUUGAAGCGGAAAUAAAUGUCGAGCAAUUGCAA
This is a long non-coding RNA of Strongylocentrotus purpuratus (purple sea urchin), 484 nucleotides long. RefSeq lists it as uncharacterized. Lineage: Eukaryota; Metazoa; Echinodermata; Echinoidea; Camarodonta; Strongylocentrotidae. The transcript is spliced from 2 exons. The record is from RefSeq and is a predicted model, not a curated record.